GGGUUGUGAGGUUAAGCGACUAAGCGUACACGGUGGAUGCCCUGGCAGUCAGAGGCGAUGAAGGACGUGCUAAUCUGCGAAAAGCGUCGGUAAGGUGAUAUGAACCGUUACAGCCGGCGAUGUCCGAAUGGGGAAACCCAGUGCAAUUCGUUGCACUAUCGUUAACUGAAUACAUAGGUUAACGAGGCGAACCGGGGGAACUGAAACAUCUAAGUACCCCG
This 221-nucleotide ribosomal RNA is filed under the name Klebsiella pneumoniae. Its description in RNAcentral is "partial 23S ribosomal RNA". It matches the Rfam family "Bacterial large subunit ribosomal RNA", at positions 1 to 213 of the family's 2925-position model. The record is from RNAcentral. Lineage: Bacteria; Pseudomonadati; Pseudomonadota; Gammaproteobacteria; Enterobacterales; Enterobacteriaceae.